This 613-nucleotide ribosomal RNA is filed under the name Vibrio splendidus. RNAcentral's name for it is "bacterial SSU rRNA". It matches the Rfam family "Bacterial small subunit ribosomal RNA", at positions 1 to 593 of the family's 1533-position model. Lineage: Bacteria; Pseudomonadati; Pseudomonadota; Gammaproteobacteria; Vibrionales; Vibrionaceae. The record is from RNAcentral.
AAAUUGAAGAGUUUGAUCAUGGCUCAGAUUGAACGCUGGCGGCAGGCCUAACACAUGCAAGUCGAGCGGAAACGACAUUAACAAUCCUUCGGGUGCGUUAAUGGGCGUCGAGCGGCGGACGGGUGAGUAAUGCCUAGGAAAUUGCCUUGAUGUGGGGGAUAACCAUUGGAAACGAUGGCUAAUACCGCAUAAUGCCUACGGGCCAAAGAGGGGGAUCUUCGGACCUCUCGCGUCAAGAUAUGCCUAGGUGGGAUUAGCUAGUUGGUGAGGUAAUGGCUCACCAAGGCGACGAUCCCUAGCUGGUCUGAGAGGAUGAUCAGCCACACUGGAACUGAGACACGGUCCAGACUCCUACGGGAGGCAGCAGUGGGGAAUAUUGCACAAUGGGCGAAAGCCUGAUGCAGCCAUGCCGCGUGUAUGAAGAAGGCCUUCGGGUUGUAAAGUACUUUCAGUUGUGAGGAAGGGGGUAACGUUAAUAGCGUUAUCUCUUGACGUUAGCAACAGAAGAAGCACCGGCUAACUCCGUGCCAGCAGCCGCGGUAAUACGGAGGGUGCGAGCGUUAAUCGGAAUUACUGGGCGUAAAGCGCAUGCAGGUGGUUCAUUAAGUCAGAU